UCAGGAUGAACGCUGGCGGCGUGCUAACACAUGCAAGUCGAGCGAUCUUCUUCGGAAGAGAGCGGCGGACGGGUGAGUAACGCGUGGGUAACCUGCCUCAUACACAUGGAUAACAUACCGAAAGGUAUGCUAAUACAAGAUGAUAUAAGAGAUUCGCAUGGAUUUCUUAUCAAAGCUCCGGCGGUAUGAGAUGGACCCGCGUCUGAUUAGCUAGUUGGUAAGGUAAUGGCUUACCAAGGCGACGAUCAGUAGCCGACCUGAGAGGGUGAUCGGCCACAUUGGAACUGAGACACGGUCCAAACUCCUACGGGAGGCAGCAGUGGGGAAUAUUGCACAAUGGGCGAAAGCCUGAUGCAGCAACGCCGCGUGAGCGAUGAAGGCCUUCGGGUCGUAAAGCUCUGUCCUCAAGGAAGAUAAUGACGGUACUUGAGGAGGAAGCCCCGGCUAACUACGUGCCAGCAGCCGCGGUAAUACGUAGGGGGCUAGCGUUAUCCGGAUUUACUGGGCGUAAAGGGUGCGUAGGUGGUUUCUUAAGUCAGGAGUGAAAGGCUACGGCUCAACCGUAGUAAGCUCUUGAAACUGGGAAACUUGAGUGCAGGAGAGGAAAGUGGAAUUCCUAGUGUAGCGGUGAAAUGCGUAGAUAUUAGGAGGAACACCAGUAGCGAAGGCGGCUUUCUGGACUGUAACUGACACUGAGGCACGAAAGCGUGGGGAGCAAACUAGGAUUAGAUACCCUGGUAGUCCACGCCGUAAACGAUGAGUACUAGGUGUCGGGGGUUACCCCCCUCGGUGCCGCA
RNAcentral lists this ribosomal RNA (797 nucleotides) under uncultured Bacillota bacterium. Its description in RNAcentral is "bacterial SSU rRNA". It matches the Rfam family "Bacterial small subunit ribosomal RNA", at positions 24 to 850 of the family's 1533-position model. Lineage: Bacteria; Bacillati; Bacillota. The record is from RNAcentral.